UGACAGUACUCCUACGGGGAGGCAGCAGUGGGGGAAUAUUGCACAAUGGGCGCAAGCCUGAUGCAGCCAUGCCGCGUGUGUGAAGAAGGACCUUCGGGUUGUAAAGCACUUUCAGUCGUGAGGAAGGUGGUAGUGUUAAUAGCACUAUCAUUUGACGUUAGCGACAGAAGAAGCACCGGCUAACUCCGUGCCAGCAGCCGCGGUAAUACGGAGGGUGCGAGCGUUAAUCGGAAUUACUGGGCGUAAAGCGCAUGCAGGUGGUUUGUUAAGUCAGAUGUGAAAGACCCGGGGCUCAACCUCGGAAUAGCAUUUGAAACUGGCAGACUAGAGUACUGUAGAGGGGGGUAGGAAUUUCAGGUGUAGCGGUGAAAUGCGUAGAGAUCUGAAGGAAUACCGGUGGCGAAGGCGGCCCCCUGGACAGAUACUGACACUCAGAUGCGAAAGCGUGGGGAGCAAACAGGAUUAGAUACCCUGGUAG
This 478-nucleotide ribosomal RNA is filed under the name uncultured bacterium. Its description in RNAcentral is "bacterial SSU rRNA". It matches the Rfam family "Bacterial small subunit ribosomal RNA", at positions 328 to 793 of the family's 1533-position model. The record is from RNAcentral.